This 236-nucleotide ribosomal RNA is filed under the name uncultured bacterium. RNAcentral describes it as "partial 16S ribosomal RNA". It matches the Rfam family "Bacterial small subunit ribosomal RNA", at positions 96 to 334 of the family's 1533-position model. The record is from RNAcentral.
UGGCGGACGGGGGAGUAAUGUCUGGGAAACUGCCUGAUGGAGGGGGGUAACUACUGGAAACGGUAGCUAAUACCGCAUAACGUCGCAAGACCAAAGAGGGGGACCGUUCGGGCCUCUUGCCAUCGGAUGUGCCCAGAUGGGAUUAGCUAGUAGGUGGGGUAACGGCUCACCUAGGCGACGAUCCCUAGCUGGUCUGAGAGGAUGACCAGCCACACUGGAACUGAGACACGGUCCAG